This 377-nucleotide ribosomal RNA is filed under the name uncultured soil bacterium. RNAcentral describes it as "bacterial SSU rRNA". It matches the Rfam family "Bacterial small subunit ribosomal RNA", at positions 26 to 399 of the family's 1533-position model. The record is from RNAcentral.
AGAGUGAACGCUGGCGGCAGGCCUAAUACAUGCAAGUCGAACGGCAGCACAGCAGAGCUUGCUCUGUGGGUGGCGAGUGGCGGACGGGUGAGGAAUACAUGGGAAUCUGCCCAGUCGUGGGGGAUAACGUAUGGAAACGUACGCUAAUACCGCAUGCGCCCUUCGGGGGAAAGCCGGGGACCUUCGGGCCUGGCGCGAUUGGAUGAGCCCAUGUCGGAUUAGCUAGGUUGGCGGGUAAAGCCCACGAAGGCGACGAUCCGUAGCUGGUCUGAGAGGAUGAUCAGCCAACACGUGGAACUGAGACACGGUCCAGACUCGACGGGAGCAGCAGGUAGGAAUGUGACAAGUGGGCACAAGCCUGAUCCAGCCAGUCGCCG